RNAcentral lists this long non-coding RNA (1059 nucleotides) under Amborella trichopoda. RNAcentral describes it as "long non-coding RNA (ATRI_LNC005303)". Lineage: Eukaryota; Viridiplantae; Streptophyta; Magnoliopsida; Amborellales; Amborellaceae. The record is from RNAcentral.
GCCUAUAUUAAUUGGGGCAAAAAACAUUUUUUUUUUCUUUUUUAUAUUUGUUCAUUGGAAUUAAAAUAGCAUAUAUUUAAAAGUUGAAGUCAAAUAAAUUGCCCUAACGUGGUUUUCAAAGAUAGUUUGAUUAUAUAAUAAUUAAACCGUGGCAUGAACACUCUGCAUCGAUCAUCUUCACUUGAACAUUACGGUUGUCAAAAUGAAUUAGGAUUUCAAGUUCUAAAAACAGUGUAAAUUGUAUCAAAAUAUCUAAACCGUUUAUUUCGCCAUAAAAAUAAGUGUUCACAUAUCUGCAAGAUCUGUAUCAUUUUUUUAGUUUCAAAAUUCUUUUGGUGUUGGAAAUUUAUUUUAGAGACAUCAUAGAUAUUUAUUUUGUCGAAAGUGCUUUCCGGAGGAGGAUUUGAGGUGAAGCUUUAUUUUAUUUUUAGACACUUUUUGUUAAAAAAAGUAGAAAGCCCUAAAAAGCACGGAAAUGGUGAUUAUGGUUUGUCGUGCUUGACCUUGAAAACAUAAGGCUUGUAUAAAUAGAAAACAUAUCUAUUACAUCCCUAUGUUUUAUCUUGUUUAAGACAAUAAAUUGUGGGAAAGUAUAUAAAGAGACUAUUUACUUUUAAUACUACUUACAAUCAUUUUUGUUUGUCAAAUUUAAAAUCGGAUAAGUAUCAAUAUAAGGUACAAGAAAAAUAAAAAGAAAUUGUUUAUAUAAAACUGUUAUUUUCUCAAACUUUGUGAUACGCCUUUGACCGAUUGAUUUUACACUUGAUGGCUAUGAGUGAUUGCGAUUUUCAUGUGACAAGAAUAAACGGCCAUGCGAUAUGUAAUCCCAAUUCUAAAUUCUAAAGAGAUUUGUUUAUACACAAAUCCGUGACAAUGAAGAUGAUCCCUCCCCUAUAAUAUUAUUAAUUUAGACUAAUAUUAAUCCUUAGCAUAGAGAAAAUAAAAAGAUUAAGGGACAGGCAAAUUACAACCCAUGGAAAGUUGAUCCCAUAGAUUCCUCUCUGCUAUGUUCCAUCUCAUUGAGGACCAUCCAAAGCCUUGGAUAAAAUUAAAUCUAAA